UAUCUACUCCCUCUGUUCGGAAUUACUUGUCGUAGAAAUGGAUGUAUCUAGUCAUUUUUUAGUUCUAGGUACAUCCAUUUUUGCGACAAGUAAUUCAGAACGGAGGGAGUAGCUA
Non-coding RNA from Triticum aestivum (bread wheat), 115 nucleotides. Lineage: Eukaryota; Viridiplantae; Streptophyta; Magnoliopsida; Poales; Poaceae. The record is from Rfam.